UACGUAGGGUGCAAGCGUUGUCCGGAAUUAUUGGGCGUAAAGGGCUCGUAAGCGGUUUGUCGCGUCGGGAGUGAAAACCCAGGGCUUAACCCUUGGCUGGCUUUCGAUACGGGCAGACUAGAGGUAUGCAGGGGAGAACGGAAUUCCUGGUGUAGCGGUGAAAUGCGCAGAUAUCAGGAGGAACACCGGUGGCGAAGGCGGUUCUCUGGGCAUUACCUGACGCUGAGGAGCGAAAGUGUGGGGAGCGAACAGG
This 253-nucleotide ribosomal RNA is filed under the name uncultured bacterium. RNAcentral's name for it is "partial 16S ribosomal RNA". It matches the Rfam family "Bacterial small subunit ribosomal RNA", at positions 524 to 776 of the family's 1533-position model. The record is from RNAcentral.